RNAcentral lists this ribosomal RNA (253 nucleotides) under uncultured bacterium. RNAcentral's name for it is "partial 16S ribosomal RNA". It matches the Rfam family "Bacterial small subunit ribosomal RNA", at positions 524 to 776 of the family's 1533-position model. The record is from RNAcentral.
UACGGAGGAUGCAAGCGUUAUCCGGAAUCAUUGGGCGUAAAGCGCACGUAGGCGGUCUGUUAUGUCGGAUGUGAAAGCCCUUGGCUCAACUGAGGAAGUGCAUCCGAAACUGGCAGGCUGGAGUACUAAAGAGGGUCGCGGAAUUCCCGGUGUAGAGGUGAAAUUCGUAGAUAUCGGGAGGAACACCGGUGGCGAAGGCGGCGACCUGGGUAGAUACUGACGCUGAGGUGCGAAAGCGUGGGGAGCAAACAGG